Molecule: ribosomal RNA, 514 nt
Filed under: uncultured marine eukaryote
Lineage: Eukaryota
Description: SSU rRNA
Rfam family: Eukaryotic small subunit ribosomal RNA
Source: RNAcentral
UUGCGGUUAAAAAGCUCGUAGUUGGAUUUCUGUUGAGGAUGACCGGUCCGCUCUUUGAGCGCGUAUCUGGUUCAGCCUUGGCAUCCUCUUGGGGAACGCUACUGUGCUUGAUUGCAUGGGGCGGUAUUCAAGACUUUUACUUUGAGGAAAUUAGAGUGUUCACUGCAAGCGUUAGCAAUUGAAUACAUUAGCAUGGAAUAAUAAUAUAGGACCUUGGUACUAUUUUGUUGGUUUCUAGAACUAAGGUAAUGAUUAAUAGGGACAAUUGGGGGCAUUCGUAUUAACGCGUCAGAGGUGGAAUUCUUAGAUUGCGUUACGACGAACUACUGCGAAAGCAUUUGCCAAGGAUGUUUUCAUUGAUCAAGAACGAAAGUAUGGGGAUCGAAGACGCUUAGAUACCGUCGUAGUCUAUACCAUAAACUAUGCCAACUAGAGAUUGGAGGUCGUUCUCUUUAUGACUCCUUCAGCACCUUAUGAGAAAUCAAAGUCUUUGGGUUCCGGGGGGAGUAUGGUC